RNAcentral lists this unclassified non-coding RNA (406 nucleotides) under soil metagenome. RNAcentral describes it as "partial contains 5.8S ribosomal RNA, internal transcribed spacer 2, and large subunit ribosomal RNA". The stretch from base 1 to 121 matches the Rfam family "5.8S ribosomal RNA", at positions 35 to 154 of the family's 154-position model. The record is from RNAcentral.
GAUGAAGAACGCGGCGAAAUGCGAUAAGUAAUGUGAAUUGCAGAAUUCAGUGAAUCAUCGAAUCUUUGAACGCACCUUGCGCCCUUUGGCCAUUCCGAAGGGCAUGCCUGUUUGAGUAUCAUGAACACCUCAACUCUUCAUGGUUUUCCAUGAUGAGCUUGGACUUUGGGGGUCUUGCUGGCCUGUGGGUCGGCUCCUCUCAAAUGAAUCAGCUUGCCGGUUUUUGGUGGGCAUCACAGGUGUGAUAACUAUCUACGCUUGUGGUUUUCCACCAGGGUAACCUUCAGCAGUGGAGGUUCACUGGAGCUUACAAAUGUCUCUCCUCUGUGAGGACAGCCCUUUGAAUGUUUGAUCUCAAAUCAGGUAGGACUACCCGCUGAACUUAAGCAUAUCAAUAAGCGGAGGA